AAUAAGUGCAGUUUUACACUAUUCACGUUCAACGUUUGACCGUCCGUCUUAUUUGAAAAAUUUAUGAAAAAAUUAAAAACAUUUAGUCACACAUAAAGUACUAUUCAUGUUUUAUCAUCUAAUAGCAAUAAAAAUACCAAUUAUAAAAAAUUUUCAAAUAAGACGGACGGUCAAACGUUGAACAUAAAUAGUAGAAAACUGCACUUAUU
Molecule: microRNA precursor, 209 nt
Filed under: Oryza sativa Japonica Group (Japanese rice)
Lineage: Eukaryota; Viridiplantae; Streptophyta; Magnoliopsida; Poales; Poaceae
Description: MIR812 microRNA precursor family
Rfam family: MIR812 microRNA precursor family
Source: Rfam by way of RNAcentral